Molecule: long non-coding RNA, 519 nt
Organism: Apis cerana (Asiatic honeybee)
Lineage: Eukaryota; Metazoa; Arthropoda; Insecta; Hymenoptera; Apidae
Source: RefSeq, a predicted model, not a curated record
AAACCUGCCACGCUAAAUUUACGAUAAAUUUCGAAAUUUCGAGGCGAUUCUAAUUUUACGCAUCCGGCUGGGGACGAGACCGAUCCGUGUCCGUUUAAAUCCGUUUCACGUUUCCUAGUUCCACUCUGGUCUGGAGUAAAUGUCGCGGGUGUACAGUUUCGCGACAUUUUGCCCAAUAUCGGCCUCGAGACUGACGAGGAAAGAUGGUACGAACUUUCCAAAGAGGUGGUCAGACUUGGACCCACCGUUAGAUGCCUAAAGGGAUAUACCAAUACGACAAUUGGGCUCGCUACUGCUGACAUCGUGCGAGCUAUUCUCAACAACUCGCAGAGAGUUAUACCAGUUUCAACCUUGAUUCAGGGUCAUCACGAAGUUUGUCACGAAAUGUUCUUAUCUCUACCUUGUAGCGUCGGUGAACAGGGAAUCACGAAUAUCGUACGGAUGCGUAUCACAGAAUACGAAAAGAAACUAUUCCAGACAUCGGCUAAUGUUGUGUUCAAUGUUCAAAAGGGUAUUAAA